RNAcentral lists this ribosomal RNA (508 nucleotides) under uncultured bacterium. RNAcentral's name for it is "partial 16S ribosomal RNA". It matches the Rfam family "Bacterial small subunit ribosomal RNA", at positions 28 to 523 of the family's 1533-position model. The record is from RNAcentral.
GAUGAACGCUAGCUACAGGCUUAACACAUGCAAGUCGAGGGGAAACGACAUCGAAAGCUUGCUUUUGAUGGGCGUCGACCGGCGCACGGGUGAGUAACGCGUAUUCAACCUGCCCACCACUUGGGGAUAACCUUGCGAAAGUAAGACUAAUACCCAAUGACGUCUCUAGAAGACAUCUGAAGGAGAUUAAAGAUUUAUCGGUGAUGGAUGGGGAUGCGUCUGAUUAGCUUGUUGGCGGGGUAACGGCCCACCAAGGCGACGAUCAGUAGGGGUUCUGAGAGGAAGGUCCCCCACAUUGGAACUGAGACACGGUCCAAACUCCUACGGGAGGCAGCAGUGAGGAAUAUUGGUCAAUGGACGAGAGUCUGAACCAGCCAAGUAGCGUGCAGGAUGACGGCCCUAUGGGUUGUAAACUGCUUUUAUAAGGGAAUAAAGUGAGUCUCGUGAGACUUUUUGCAUGUACCUUGUGAAUAAGGACCGGCUAAUUCCGUGCCAGCCGCCGCAGUAA